UGGUGCCAGCAGCCGCGGUAAUUCCAGCUCCAAUAGCGUAUAUUAAAGUUGUUGCAGUUAAAAAGCUCGUAGUUGAAUUUCGGGGUUAGUAGGUUGGUCAUGCCUCUGGUAUGUACUGGUCUCACUGAUUCCUCCUUCCUUAUGAACCGUAAUGCCAUUAAUUUGGUGUUGCGGGGAAUUUGGACUGUUACUUUGAAAAAAUUAGAGUGUUUAAAGCAAGCUAACGCUUGAAUACAUUAGCAUGGAAUAAUGAAAUAGGACGUUCGAUCUUAUUUUGUUGGUUUCUAGGAUUGACGUAAUGAUUAAUAGGGAUAGUUGGGGGCAUUAGUAUUCAAUUGUCAGAGGUGAAAUUCUUGGAUUUAUUGAAGACUAACUGCUGCGAAAGCAUUUGCCAAGGAUGUUUUCAUUAAUCAAGAACGAAAGUUAGGGGAUCGAAGACGAUCAGAUACCGUCGUAGUCUUAACCAUAAACUAUGCCGACUAGGAU
Molecule: ribosomal RNA, 486 nt
Filed under: uncultured Rhizophagus
Lineage: Eukaryota; Fungi; Glomeromycota; Glomeromycetes; Glomerales; Glomeraceae
Description: SSU rRNA
Rfam family: Eukaryotic small subunit ribosomal RNA
Source: RNAcentral